AAACAAAACCAAGCGACUUCGGUCGUUUUUUGUUGACUCAGAAUAACUAAGCUGAUCGCAUGGUCUUGCACCGGCGACGUGUCUUUCAAGUAUCUGCCUUAUCAACUUUCGAUGGUAGUGUAUCUGACUACCAUGGUGGUGACGGGUAACGGAGGAUAAGGGUUUGACUCCGGAGAAGGGGCCUGAGAAAUGGCCACUACGUCUAAGGAUGGCAGCAGGCGCGCAAAUUACCCACUCUCAGAACGAGGAGGUAGUGACGAAAAAUAACGAGACCGUUCUCUACGAGGCCGGUCAUCGGAAUGGGUACAAUCUAAACCCUUUAACGAGUAUCUAUGAGAGGGCAAGUCUGGUGCCAGCAGCCGCGGUAAUUCCAGCUCUCAAAAUGCAUAGAAUUAUUGCUGCGGUUAAAAAGCUCGUAGUUGGAUCUGUGCUGAGGACCUGGUCCACCUUCGGGUGCGUACUAGGCUCCACGGCUUUUCUGCCGGUUUUCCCGUCAUGGCUUUYAUCGGCUGUGGCGGGUGGCUGGUGAUUUUACUUUGAACAAAUCAGAGUGCUUCAAACAGGCGUUUAGCUUGAAUGUUUUUGCAUGGAAUAAUAGAAGAGGAUUUCGGUUCUAUUUUAUUGGUUUUAUAGACUGAAAUAAUGGUUAACAGAGACCAACGGGGGCAUUCGUACCGCUGCGUGAGAGGUGAAAUUCUUGGACCGCAGCGAGACGAACUACAGCGAAAGCAUUUGCCAAGAAGGUCUUCAUUAAUCAAGAACGAAAGUCAGAGGUUCGAAGGCGAUCAGAUACCGCCCUAGUUCUGACCGUAAACGAUGCCAACUAGCGAUCUGCCGGUGGAAUUUUCGCCCUGGUAGGGAGCUUCCCGGAAACGAAAGUCUUCCGGUUCCGGGGGAAGUAUGGUUGCAAAGCUGAAACUUAAAGGAAUUGACGGAAGGGCACCACCAGGAGUGGAGCCUGCGGCUUAAUUUGACUCAACACGGGGAAACUCACCCGGCCCGGACACCAUAAGGAUUGACAGAUUGAUAGCUUUUUCAUGAUUUGGUGGAUGGUGGUGCAUGGCCGUUCUUAGUUCGUGGAGCGAUUUGUCUGGUUUAUUCCGAUAACGAGCGAGACUCUAGCCUACUAAAUAGUCUGCACAUUGCUUCUGUGAUGCAGUACUUCUUAGAGGGAUUUUCGGUGUACAGCCGCACGAGAUUGAGCAAUAACAGGUCUGUGAUGCCCUUAGAUGUCCGGGGCUGCACGCGCGCUACACUGGCGAAAUCAGCGUGCUUGUCCUUGCUCGAAAGAGCUUGGUAAACCAAUGAAAAUUUGCCGUGAUUGGGAUCGGAAAUUGCAAUUAUUUUCCGUGAACGAGGAAUUCCAAGUAAAUGCGAGUCAUCUUUUUGCC
Molecule: ribosomal RNA, 1391 nt
Filed under: Ditylenchus weischeri
Lineage: Eukaryota; Metazoa; Nematoda; Chromadorea; Rhabditida; Anguinidae
Description: SSU rRNA
Rfam family: Eukaryotic small subunit ribosomal RNA
Source: RNAcentral